UGAUGAUGGUGAGGGAAAUUUCUAAGCAUACUUUAAAAUCUCUCCCAAGCUUGGUAGAUAUUCUCUCCUUCUUUAUGUCUAAAACUCAGAAUCCCAUUUCUCAACCG
Molecule: non-coding RNA, 107 nt
Organism: Capsicum annuum
Lineage: Eukaryota; Viridiplantae; Streptophyta; Magnoliopsida; Solanales; Solanaceae
Source: Rfam